Molecule: long non-coding RNA, 1055 nt
Organism: Hippocampus zosterae (dwarf seahorse)
Lineage: Eukaryota; Metazoa; Chordata; Actinopteri; Syngnathiformes; Syngnathidae
Exons: 3
Source: RefSeq, a predicted model, not a curated record
AGGGGACCAGAUCGGACCAAGAAUUGCUUAAUAGUACAUGACAUGAGUCCAUAGCAUAUCAUAAAAUUGACCAAAAAGUCAAUAAUUCACAUUUAAACAAGUGUACCACGACCAGAUUAUAUAACAUGACAUAAAUCAAUAAAAAGUUACUGCAUUAAAAAAAAACCAUCUCACCCCAAAAAAGAAAAUGAUUGAAAUAAUGCAGAAAAGCGCCCAGCCGCCACACAAUUACUAUAAGCUUGCUGAGCCUCCCACAGAGCCAUCUGCCUGCUGAAGCUGAGCCGCUUCCAAGAGGCCAAGCAGGACUGUGACUCUGCUCUGCGCUUGCAGCCCUCCAACAAGAAAGCCUUCUACAGACGAGCGCUGGCCCACAAGGGUCUGCAGGUACCCGCCUGUGAUUGCAGUACAGUACUUAAAAUGGAUAGGAUGCAUCCAAGCCAUACAUGUCGAAUGAUUACUGAACUGCCAGCGGUGACCUGCAGGAGGUCCUCCAACUGGACCCCAACGUCAAGGAGGCGGAGCAGGAGCUUCUGGAGGUCACCGCCUUGCUGAGACAAAGCCUCAUGGAGGACACAGCGCACACGCAGAGCGGUAUGACUCAAGACGUGAUCUCUGCUCGGGGGCUCAUUUUUCCACUGCCACUGAAUUGCCCAUUGAUGCCACGAGAUGGCGACAAAGCACACCACUUUGUUUCAACUUAGUGUUAUUUUCUAUUGCCUUGUUUUGUUUAAUUUGGAUGUUUUUGUGAUAACCAUCGAACAGGAAAUUAUCUUAGACGUCACAUCACCCCCUCACCCCCCAAGUAUGAUGAUGAGGUGCAGUUGUUUGCUCCAUGCAGACUGUCAAGUGUGAAAACCUCCAGGGCUGUCGUGACUAGCAAAUUCAGAAGGGGAACGGAGCGUUGUCAGCACAAGAUGUCUGUUGCGGUGCAGUCACGAGUGUCGGCGGUGGCGGCGUCUUCGGCAAUAUACAGAACCUCGCUAAGCGAAGACGUGGGGCGGUGGCUGAAGGCGGCGUGGCUCCGCUGAGGCGGCAGCUGCUCCAGGCGGUCGUGC